AUACGUAGGGGGCGAGCGUUGUCCGGAAUUACUGGGCGUAAAGGGCGUGUAGGCGGUAUGGUAAGUCAGAUGUGAAAGUUCGGGGCUCAACCCCGAAAUUGCAUUUGAAACUGUCAUACUUGAGUACUGGAGAGGUAAGCGGAAUUCCUAGUGUAGCGGUGAAAUGCGUAGAGAUUAGGAGGAACACCAGUGGCGAAGGCGGCUUACUGGACAGAGACUGACGCUGAGACGCGAAAGCGUGGGGAGCGAACAGGAUUAGAUACCCUGGUAGUCCACGCUGUAAACGAUGAGUGCUAGGUGUUGGGGGAACUCAGUGCCGUAGUUAACACAAUAAGCACUCCGCCUGGGGAGUACGGUCGCAAGACUGAA
Molecule: ribosomal RNA, 369 nt
Filed under: uncultured bacterium
Lineage: Bacteria
Description: bacterial SSU rRNA
Rfam family: Bacterial small subunit ribosomal RNA
Source: RNAcentral